GAUGUUCUAGAAUGGUUGAAGAAACGCUCUCGACUCGGCUUCCUUCUCUCUUUCUCCUCAUACAGGAGGAGAUCGAGAUUACGUUUGACUUGAAAUGGCGUCGUUCUACUUCGAGAUUUCCUUGAGUUUUCGAUUCAUCUGUGCACUUUGAAGUAAACGGAAAAACCAGAAUACGUUUCAUCGGAGAUUCGAGAACUAUCACGAUUGCCCAACACAAAAUUUUGGAUCUCUUGAUUCUUUGAGGUAUGUUGAGUUUUGGUAAACCUUUAGCCUCUCUAUUUGAUCUUUUCAAAUUCAAUAGG
Long non-coding RNA from Cucurbita maxima (winter squash), 302 nucleotides. RefSeq lists it as uncharacterized. The record is from RefSeq and is a predicted model, not a curated record. The transcript is spliced from 3 exons. Lineage: Eukaryota; Viridiplantae; Streptophyta; Magnoliopsida; Cucurbitales; Cucurbitaceae.